UACGAAGGGUGCAAGCGUUACUCGGAAUUACUGGGCGUAAAGCGUGCGUAGGUGGUCUGUUAAGUCUGAUGUGAAAGCCCUGGGCUCAACCUGGGAAUUGCAUUGGAUACUGGCAGGCUAGAGUGCGGUAGAGGAUGGCGGAAUUCCCGGUGUAGCAGUGAAAUGCGUAGAUAUCAGGAGGAACACCGGUGGUGUAGACGGCUCACUGGACCAUAACUGACGCUGAGACACGAAAGCGUGGGUAGCAAACAGG
RNAcentral lists this ribosomal RNA (253 nucleotides) under uncultured bacterium. Its description in RNAcentral is "partial 16S ribosomal RNA". It matches the Rfam family "Bacterial small subunit ribosomal RNA", at positions 524 to 776 of the family's 1533-position model. The record is from RNAcentral.